This 20980-nucleotide long non-coding RNA is filed under the name Eucalyptus grandis. RNAcentral describes it as "long non-coding RNA (EGRA_LNC000051)". The record is from RNAcentral. Lineage: Eukaryota; Viridiplantae; Streptophyta; Magnoliopsida; Myrtales; Myrtaceae.
UCACACAGAGAGAGAGAGAGAGAGAGAGAGAGAGAGAGAGAGAGAGGGAGGGAGGGAGGGAGGGACAAAACUCACAGUUGAUAUGAAGCAGUUGUCAAGAGAAGGUUCAUUGACUGGUUCGUAUCUAUCAUAAGUGUCAUAAAAGAUCUCAUCAACAGGUCCCAGCAGAUCAACCCCUGGCUUCAGUUCUAUCUCAGGUUGAUCAGUUUCAGCCUCUGCCGAAACAAAUGCAAUGAAUUUGCCCUUUGGCGCAACAUUGUGAGAGUAUGAACAACAGAAAAGAUACCUGCUCAAAAAUAGGCACAGUUAAACAAUAAGUCAAAAUCAAGGAGCAAUACUUAGAUUAUCAGGACAUGAAAUAAAUUUAAACCAUCGGCAAUCCAAGGCCCACCUAUUAAGCGGCACAUGAAACUAUCUAUGAAAUUUAAGAUCCAAAUGCAGGUAUCAAAUACCGUUUAGAAAAUGAUAUGCAGAUUCUAAUCGUGACCAAAAUGAUUGAUUACGUAAAAUUAAUAAAAUAUCAUCGAUCUCAUGGGACCAGAUAAUUAACUUGUUACACUUACAUUCAUCUGAUUUCCCACCUCAAAUACAACAAAUGCAGUUAAAUGGAUAGUGAGAAGCUUUUUUUGUUAGGACAAUAAACAUUUAGAUUUGCUUUUUCCCCGUUCAUUUCUCAAACAAACUUUGACAUCAAAUAUAAUAAGAAGCUGUAGCUAAUAAUCUCCAAUUAGUGUAUACAAUAACUUACAUAUCUGACUUGCGACCCAACUGUUUCUGUGGGAUAAUAACCUGCACUGAGUGAGAAUCAUUGGUGUUUGGGAUUGGAUGGCUCAUGAUACAGAUUGCUCUGGAGACCUUCCCAAUUUUCCUAACCUGUAAAAGUUCACAUAUUCCCUUCUGAGUAUGAUGUCCAAUGUCAUUGCAAAAUUAAAAAGAAAAAAGGCGCAUCUGCAAUUUAUGCGCCUUCGUGGUCAUCAGGACUUGUUACUGGUUCUUACUUUGUUAGAAAGGAUGGGGUGUAAAACAUUUUGCGAGGUUCAUGGCCUUCAGGGCCGAGAAAGUAGUCAUAUGUUAGUGGCAAAAUAAAUCUUAUAUUCAACAACCAUCAGCAACGAUGCAGCACAAUUAUCCUUUUACUGGUAUCAAGGGGGUGCUGCAAGCACACAAGAUCUCCAUGCAAAGAAUCUGACGGAUAGAACCAAUAUGCACUUAUUUAACCAAGCUCCACAAAAUUUUUCAAACCAAUUUAAGCUACAAUAGUCUCGUGGAAGAUUACUAUCUAAUCUUCAGAAUCAAUACACAAAUUAUACUCUAGAAGCUCAUACCAAUUAUAUCAAGCAAACUGGACUCUGACGUAAGAUCGCUAACAUCCUGCAAUAAUCAUGAUGCAGUAUCAUAUAUAUUACCUUGUUAGUCAAGUAGGAAGGGUCACAAACAACUUUUUUGCAUUUAGCAGUUUCACCCUCUGAUGUGACACCAAUGACUUGGCCUUCCUCGUUGAACUCCACCUGCAAUAACAGCAACAUAAAACAACAUUUUUUUAAUUAGUAGCAGAUUUAACUUGAAUAAACACCACUCCAUGAUAUUGGCAGAAACUAAGUAUAUAAUUACUAGCCCAAAUAUAAAUGAGAACCAAAUGAAAUGAUUACCUUGCAUUCCGGUUUGUUCAACAUGUAAGUCCCACCAUAUACAGCACUAAGCCGUGCAAAUGCCUGGAUUACAAAGAAAAAUGUUAAAUAGAAACUAAAGUAAAUGGUCAGGCACUGUAUCUAGAGCAACUGAAUGGACAUGCAUCUGUGAUGCUAGAUGUACCUGAGGGAGCUCUCCCAACCCAUACAAAGGGUAAAUAUAGGGAGAUCCUCCUUGAAAACGAGCAAGUGACUCUGCAUAUAGCUAUCAAGUGGCCAAUGGAAAGAAGAGCAAUGUCAAUUCAGAGAUCUCUAAACAAAAUGAUAAACAUUUUUGUUCUGGGACAGGAUCAUUCACCUUCAUUCUCUUGACAGUAUCCAGGGCAGGCUCAUCUAGGAACCGGUCAUCUCUAUGGAGCGCCAAGGCAUGGCCAAUAAAAUCCAUGGUGUUGUCAUCCAGACCAUAUUUUCUGUUCAAACAUCAACAGAGGCAAAAUGACCAAGGAUUCCAUUGUUCGACCAGCUAACAUCAUUCUACUCAUUAUGAUAGCUGGAACAAAUUCAUGCAGAAGAAGAGAAAAUGAAAGAAAUAUAUGAGUAAGAGCAACGUAAGAACUCUCCACUUUGUCCCAGACUUUCCUUCUUUUUUAUAAGUAAUAUCAUUUACAAUCCAAUAUCCAAAAUAGAAAAUGCAGAGGAACACUUCCUGCCACAAGUAGUGCAUAAAAUGGUAUAAGACUGUAAACAUCUAGAAAAUUUAGUUAUCAUUUAAUCAGUCGUCAGAAUGGGAACUUCUAAGCGAAACAGUUUGCAAUUGCAGUGCAGCAUAGAUUUUUUUAAAGAGAUUACAAUGACAUGGCGACCUAGGAAAGUAUUUAAAUACAUACGCUAUCAGUUCUCUCGUUGUUACACGUGUCAGAUCCAUCCCCUCAUGUGUCUUUGGAUCAUUUUCAUCAUAAUCUUGAACGUAUAUGAAGAACUUCCGGGCACGACGCUUCUCAAACAUGCCCAUGAGUGGAGAUUUAAGUGCUUCCAUGUCAGUAGCAGGCACUUUGUGAACCUGUCAUUGGCAUUACUAUAUCAUUGAAUGAGAGAGGAAAAAUUAGGCAGACUUGCAAAUGGUGUUCCAACAUAGGGUCCAUCUCCAUACCUUUCCCUUAUUGAAGACAUAGCCGCCAUCCACAGCUUUGAAGUACAGAUACUUGGUAACAUCCGUAUGAAUGAGGACUCGCACAAGAGUACCAUUUGCCAUCAUAAACUACACAGAAACACUAGUCAGCAAUGAAUAAAUAAUGAGAAUAUAUAUGAUUUGCCACAACUUAAAUUGUAGGCCAAUUAACAAAGUGUGAGAAUUAUACCUUUGGGACCAUGUCAACAUUAUAAUCCCUGCUAGAACCCAAAUGUGGAGGAGGUUUAUCACUAUUCCUAAAUUUCUUCCAGAGCUGCAGUUCUCAUCAAAAGAAAACAUUCAAACCACCAAUUAAAGAUAAGGCAAUAAUGCAGAAAAUUGCCAUGAACACUUGAAGAAAGCAGACCUGAAUGAGGUUAAGUGAUGUUGACUCUGCUCCAUAAUAGUCAUUCCUAUCCAUGUGCAAAACCUGGUUCAAAAGUUUCUUUCAUCAGCAACAGAACAGGAAUCCACAAUCUAUGGUAAUUACCAUUGUUUUGAUAAGGGAAAAAGAGAAUGAGGAGAGAAACUGAGAAUAGUUAUUUCAUUGCAUAUUUUGCAACAUUUAUUAAAAGAGAAAAUCCGCAUGCCCUUAGACAAUUACAAAGAAGAUAAAGAAGAGUGAAUAAUAUACAUGAGAAACUACAUGAAAUGGUUAAUGUAAUACGAAAUUUUAAAAAGAAAAAUGUCGGUUCACAAAUAAACUAGUGGAAUGGAUAUACUGUUCAAUAAAUACUUGCUUCAGUAAGUUCCUAUUGUAUAUAAGUUACAUUUAGUCUUAUAAUUUUAUGAGGAAGCAAACACAGCAACUCUAGUCUAGCCUAGCAUGACAUUCAGCAUUUCCAUUAAUGUGAUUUUCCACAAAAAGUUUUUCGGCCAGCUGUAAAAGCAGAGUGACACGAGGGCUGCCAAAUGUAGUCUAUUUGCCAAUACCAGAAUGGUAGAAGGGUGUACGACCAUUGAGGUCAACCCACCAAAGUUUUCUGCUGUCCUAUUAGCUCAGGCCAGAGCUAUGGCAUACAGAGGUAUUCUUACCACAGGACUCAAGAUCUUACUGGAUUCACAGGAUCACAUAUCGGAUUCAACUUAGAGACCAAAGAGUCUGAUAGGUAUAGCCACAAAACGCCUAUUAAGUGUCUAAGGACUGGCUUAUGUCCUGUUACAGCAACUUUUGGAGGGAGCUACCUAAAAUUGUUGGCAUGAAGCUCAUGGAAACAGCCAAAUGCUGAAGGGGCAAUCUCCUUGAUUUGACAUACUAUGCGGUGCAGAGGUCUAAGUUUCAAGGAACUUUCCGUCAAUCCUCCUCUCUAUCCAACAAGAUGAAAAGAGAAGUGCAUCCGUCUCCAUAAAAGGCAUGGUGACAAGUCAAUCGGACAAGACAAUGUACUAUUCCACCUCCACUGUCCUCAAAGCUUAGACCAUUCAAAUAAUUACAUGUAAUCAACAUACUCGAGACUGGCCCGAUUCAAUUAUCACGAAGUUGCCACCUGAAUUUGAGAUCAAACACAGCGAAAACUAGAGGCAUCCAUGUCCGAUCUCUGCCGAUCACCAUAUGAAAAAAAAUUAAAUCUUUACAAUUUCAAUCGAGCUCAUCGGCAGCUUAAAACCAAUAAAGCAAAGCCCAAUCCAACUGCCGACCGGUUUCUCAGAUCAUCUCCGCAUAAAUUAGCAUUGCCAUCCUCACGUAAACCCGCUAGCAAAGCUAGGUUUCCCCAUUUCAAGAGCCUCGCUCGUCCGUCCCAAUACUAAUCGAACACAAGACAACACACCAGCAGCCAAAAAGCCCCAAUCGCCGAUCUCCUCAGCAUCGAUUUCCACUGCCUACUAGAUUCGAAAACAUGAUCAACCGACUCCCCAAUCCAAACGAACACCGACUCAAAAAAAACCCCCCGAAGUCAGCGCGCAGAUCCUCACCGCAUCGUCAACCCCAAAAAAAUAUAUAUUAAAAAAAAAAAAAAAGGAAACUUCCGCAAAUCUAACGACGCGAUGGCGAAAUCACGCACGACCCUCGAGAGGAUUCGCGCAUCCGAGGCACGGGAUCGAAUCGCAAACGACCGAUCGAGCGAGGAAACGACGGGAGAAGGAGGAGGGACCUUGAGGCCGUCAACGGAGAGGAGGCCGGAGAGGAUGCACUCCUUGAGGCCGGUCCCGAGCACGAUGACGUCGUACUCCUCAUCCAUGGUGGCGGUCCGUCGCCGGCGACGAUCGGUGGGUGGGUGGCGGAGCGCGGAUCGGGCGGCGGCGGAGGAGGGGAGAUCUGAGAGGGAGUAAGACCGGAGAUGCCGCAGGAGCAGGAGAAGGUAGGAGUUGGAAUACGAUGAUUGCGUGCUGUCCCCGGUUGAAUCGGGGAUAUUUAUAAAUAAAGUAAAAAGGAAAGAAGGGAGAGAGAUGCCGGGCUUGAUUAUGUCCGUUUGAUUAUGCAGUAGGGGGAGGCAAAUGAGGCAUCAUAUAAUAAAGCUUGUCGAUUUCAGCUGCUUCCUGCUCCUCUCUUUUUUUUUAAUUUUUUUUUCUGCAAUAUCUUUUUUUUUUCUCUCUCUCUCUCUUCUUCUUCUUCUUCUCUUCUUCGUCUUUCUUUCUCUCUUUCUUGUUUUUUUAAUAUGAUAUUGGGACGUGGGAGAAAAGGUCUUCGUGAACUCGAUGCCUGGGGGACUGAGUGAAUAUGACCUGUUUUCAAUAAAGCGGAGAUGCUUAUCCGCUGGAGAGAUUCAUUCGGUCCAUUAUGGAGUAUGGACCACGAGGCAGCGAAGGAUUUGCUUUGAGCAAUGCGCGAUUUAAGCUUAUGUUGUCGCCCCCAAAGUAAUUUUCCCUUCUUUAAAAUAAAAAUAAUAAUAAGAGUACCCAUUUAAUGAAUCACUUCUGCUUUUUCGAAUUAAUCUUGAUUUUUCUUAAAACACAAUAAGAAAAUCGAGAAAAGUAGGAAUUCUUGUUUGUGAUGUAAACAAGUCAUAAAACUUAUAGUCCAAGUUCUACUAUUAAAGUUGCUUGGAUUCGAAUUGGCGUAAGAAAUGAUAAAGUGAGAUUAGCCAAACUCCUAAUAUCGUCCGGAUUAUAGAAAAUCACAUAAUAUGUUUGGUGUAAUUUAAGAUAGAAAUUAAAAAAAUUAAAAUUUUCGAAAAUUUUGCCUACUCAAUGUGUAAUCUCUCGUAGUAUCUAGAUCUAAAGCUCCCUCACCAGCAUCAUUCUCUUCAAUUCCCUUGGAUUUGUCUUCUUUGCCAAGCCCACUUCCAUCUCCACCUACAGGCCAUAAACCCUAUUCGGCUUCAUCGAAUGAGAGAUGAUUCGCCAUGUGACGUAUAAUUUCUCCUUUUUACCCUCAUUUAUUCAGACAAAUUUGGCCGAUUAGCAAUGACAAUCGGCAAUGGUUGGAGGCAACAUCGAUUGUAUGGUGGUCUGUUGUGGAGGCAGUCCUUAAGCAAUGACCGGCAAAGCAAGAUGCAUCCCUUCAUCUUUUGAUGAAAAACUAUUGAGUCAUUUAAUAAAGAAAAUAUUCAAGCCAGAUUCAUUCCACCCUAUAACCCAAAUUUAUUUAGAGAAUGUCAUCAAUCACUGUAUAUGAUAUUUUGUUAUUCUAUAAAGAUUUACCAAACAUAAUCUGAGCCUUUUCAGCAAUAACUCUAAUGGAAGAAUCAUGCCAUUUUUUGUUAUGAAACUCAUAUGAAUCAAUAAUUGUUCAACAUAAAAUUGUAGUCUUAACGACACAUUUUAAUUGUACCAUGUCUUUCUUACUUCACUCUUCAUCUCACCACAUGGAAAAAUUACUUGGGGAUCUUAACGGUUCAAUUGUUUCCGAAUUUACCCUAAAGUUUCUUAAAGCAUUUUAGUAAUUAUUUCUAUGGUAUUUUUGAAGCGAGCUUCCCUUUCCACAACAUUUUCAGCUUGAACUAUAAUGAUGUACAAAGUUGGAUCCUAGCCACGACACUAGUGGGAGUCAACACGCGUGACUAAAUAGUCUCUACCACCUCUUGAUGGGAGUUGUACAGCGUGCACGACUUGGGUAAUAAUAAGGUUCAAUUGAAAGGAUUCAUAGCAUUAAAAAAAAUCCCCAAUUUAAUAUGCCCGUGAGAAAUAUAUUAAAAUCUCUGGGCAAAAUUGAGGUAAAAUUAAGAAUUUUAACAGAUUUUCAAAACAUGAGGAAACUCUUAGAGCAAAAUUAGUAGAUUUCCCAAUUUUAGGGAAAAUUUAAAGAAAAGUAAGGAUUUUAUCAUAUUUUUGAAAUGUCAAGGAGGUCUUAGGGUUAUUAGCAGAUUUUCUAGUGUCAGCUGAUUUAUUUUUCAGAUUUAACUUGCUCAAAAAGAUCCCGUUUAUUUAUGUGGAAUUUCCACAUCGAAUUCAUGUUGCAUCCGUGUUUCUCGCCACAUAUGUUUCCACGAAAUAAUUUAACCAAAUAUUCAGCAUAAACUAACGAGGAUAGAUUUGUCACGGGGUGUACCAAUUCAGGAUAUUUUGUGACGCAAAAAUAAAUUGUGAAUUGAAUGUGACAUGGAUGUACCGAAUUUUGGAGAUAUUUUCCUAAAUUAAAACUAUGGCUUAAUUAUUUAGUUUGCCAUACUUGAUUUAUGGCCCAAAAAGGGCCUCAUGAUUUCGCCAUUUCCAAUGGGCUUUUCCCCGAUUUCGGGGCUUCUUAAGAGCCCAACGAACCACGAAGGUGGGCCGGAAAUGCGAGAUGACUUGGUGGAUAAAAACCCGAGUCAACUCCCAAUUUCAAUCCUUGCUCAAAAAAAAAAAAAAAAAAAACUCCCAAUUUCAAUCUCCGGCACAAAAAAAAAAAAAAAAAAACUCUUACAUGUACGAAUAUAUAUAUGUAUAUAUAUUUUUGAACACUUAAAUGCACAUGUCGUCACAAAUGUAAAUCUUCAUUAUCCAUAACAUAAUCACUAGUUUUCAAACUCCUGCAUAAUAGAUUUAUAACUGAAAAAUGAGAUACCUAAAGAAAACAUGUAGAAAAUUUGAAUUUUAUUGCUAAUGCUUCUUUACCCACGCAUACAUAGUUAAUCUAUUUCUAAGAAAAAGAAAAGGAAAACUUAAAAAGAAUAAAAGAAUUAGUGUAAUUCUGAACAAACGCCUUUCGGUUAUCCUAUUAACAGACUAACAAGCCUAUUUGGUAAAACUGAAAAUUAAGUGUUGAAAAUUUUAUAAUUUGUAAUCAACACCAGGUAGAUCUACAAGACAUACCCAGACUCAUACUUCACAAUGCAAUUAUCAAUUCCAAAAUGGAUUCGGCUGCUAUAAUGCUCGGAUAUCACUAAAUUUUCAUUAGGAUAUUGCAUGGUUGUCGGUAAACGGUCUCUAUGCUGAUUCAUCAAUAUUAAUCCUAAUUUACAAUGUCGUUUAUUAGAAGAAAUUUUGAUAGUAAAAGGAAUUACAGAUUUGUACAAUGGACUUAAUUGAAACGAAAAGACAUCAAAGGGAGAUGCACGAAGAAAGUGGAAGAUCGUUGGACGUUCGGAUAAGUGGGAAGAUAGCCAAAAAUUAGUAUAGGAUGUGGCAAUACCAUGAUUAACAGAGUCAAUUAAUACCUCAUCUAUUUCUCUUUAGAACUCAAAACCAUCUACUCAUUGCCGAGCCAAAGAGACUUCCAAAUUAGCUCAAACUACUUAUUAUUUCACUGAUGCAAUUGCAUUCUCGAGCAAAAGCUGUAGAACACGCGAUCUCGCAUAUAUACGGGACGUAGACCCUAGACUUACAUGUCGGAGAGCAUGUUCGGUGCACCUCCGGUGCGCAAAGGAGGGCGAGCUCGGCCUUGAGGUCCCUUCAGGGCUCAGCAGAUCCGCCUUCGAUUUACUGUCGCAGGUCGUGAACCUUAAACCUCGCUUCACAUUGGAGAAGGAAAAGGACUAGUCAGCGAAAGCUAGAGAUCAGAGGGUCUCUCUCGAAGCAACGAAAGCGAGCAUGAGGACGAUUGUUACCAAUUGCCACUGCUUCAUCCGAGCUUCAAUGGCCGCCUCUCUGCGCAUGCAUGCACUCGGCUCGCAUUAGCUCGGUGCAUGGAAUAAUGAGAAUGAGACCUAGAUGGCUUCUUCAGCUAGGUCAUCCAUGUCUACACAAUGUCCAUGUUGUUUGAGUUGGAAAAAGGGUGCUAUCAAGUCUGUCACAUUCAGUCACAUUGAUCGCCUAAUGUUUCAGUAAUGUGGCCAUGGACCCGUUUCAUCUUUGGAGGAGACUAUCAAGCAGACACUGACGACUAGCAUUUUAUAUAAGCAUUGCACAAUGUAAAUUCUUUACAUGUAUUAUCACAGUUGACAGUAUAUAGAAUAACCAGAUACACGUUUUAGAGAUUCAUCGACAAUGAAGACUGAUGUCUGAGAGCUCCAAACCAGGCAGUAGCUACUAGCAAUGCAUACGCCGAACCUCCUCUCUUUUUCUCAUUCCUCUGCAGCACUGGCAGCGCUCAAAUCCACACUGAGGUCGAGAACCUGCCCAGAAGAAUGUUAAUUUGUCAGCAUCUCCCCCUCCCCCCCUCUCCCCUUCAAUAUCUUAGCAAGGAAGCUUGAAUUGCUGCUAUGGAAAAUGUUAGAGUUGAAAAAUAACUUCUAUAUGAUCUUCAAUCAUUUCAAAGCAAUAUCAGCCGUUUGUCAUACUUUUGCCUUUUAGCAAACACUUUUGCCUUUUAACUUCUGCCAAAGAAUCUAACAAUUACAUAGUACUAUCUCUAAUUGGUAUUUCCUGUCCUAUUCAAAAUGUUACACUUCUCAAUAAUGCUUAAGCUUUGCUAUAAUUUUACAUUUUCAGGACAUCUUUGAUAGUUUACCAAAGGGGACUAUAGACUUGGUUAGCAGAGGGAAACGAUAAAAUGUGCAGCAGGAGGAAUUUUUGGGCAGGUUUCAUGGUGCUGGAACGUAGGUCCGAAAGUUGAGAACUUGUACUUCAUAGCAAAUAGUCAACAGCCGUCUAACCAGACCAAUCGAGAUUGCACUCAUUGGACACAAGAAAAAGAGGAGGGCAUGGCAGGGCUUAUCAUGUAACUAGGCUAAAUGCAUGACAACCUUGUCGAGAAAAACAUUAGAACAUAACUUCAAGGCUGAGGGAAACAGACGAAAAUACAUAAUGAUCAGGUAUAAUUAACAAGAAGGGUAGACCCGAGCAGUUCUAAUAUUAAUGGCUUCCAAAGAGUCCUCAAAAGCUUCCAACCCACAUGAAAACUUGUCAAAGAUUAUCUCAUGCUCGCAUCAUAAUUGAGAGCAGGACAUUUCCAAGAAGUAAUUCUUACCUUUCCAGUGAUCUUCGUAUACAUGUUAAGCACAUCCUUAACAGUUGACUCGAAGUGGGUUGUGGCAUCAUAACUCUGCAGGUAUAGCAAGAGAAGAGAUUAACUUAAUAUCAAUACAAUUAAAAGCUUCCGAACUCCACAUAUACAUCACACACAGAGAGAAGAACAAACUCACACUUGAUAUGAAGCAGUUGUCAACAGAAGAUUCAUUGACUGGCUCAUAUCUAUCAUAAGUGUCAUAAAAUAUCUCAUCAACGGGCCCCAGCAAAUUAACACCUGGCUUCAGUUCUAUCUCAGGUCGAUCAGUUUCCGCCUCCGCCGAAACAAAUGCAAUAAACUUGCCCUUUGGUGCGACUUUGUGAGAGUUUGAACAACAGAAAAGAUACCUGCUCAAACAGGGGCAUAGUUGAACAAAGAGUUGAAACCAUGGAAUAAUGCUAUCAGAAGGCCGUGAAAACGGAUUUCAUUAACCAUUGGUAAUUUAAGGCCAACCUGUUAAGCAGGCGCAUGGAACCAUCUGUGAAAUUCAAGUUCUAAAAUGCAAGUAUCAAAUAGUGUUUAGAAGUGAAAUGUGUAUCAAGCAGAUUCUGAUCCUGACUUAAAAUGAUAGUUCACGUAGAGUUAUCAUUGAUCUCAUGGGACAGAUACUUAACUUGUUACGCUCACAUUCAUCUCCCUUCCCACCUCAAAUACAACAAAUGCAGUUAAAAGGAAAAGUGAGAAGCUAUCUCUCCUUGGACAAUAAACAUUUAGAUUUGCAUUUUCCGCCUUCAUUUCUCAAACAGACAUUCAAAUAAAACAAAAUAAGAAAAUAUAGUUAGUAAUCUCCAAUUAGUGUACUCGAGGCCUUACAUAUCUGACUUGCGACCCAAUUGUCUCUGUGGGAUGAUAACCUGCACUGACUGAGAAUAAUUGGUAUUUGGGAUUGGAUGGCUCAUGAUACAGAUUGCCCUGGCAACCUUCCCAACUUUCCUAACCUGUACAAGAUUACAUAUUACCACUGAGUACAACGUCCACCCUUUUGUUGCAAGAGGGAAAAAAAAAGGUAUCCGCAUGCCUUCGUGUUUAUCGGGGCUUGUUACUGGUUCUUACUAUCUUUAAAAAGUAAAAGAAAACGACUGAGAGGGUGGGGUGUAAAACAUUUGCGAGGUUUAGGGCCUUUAGGCCAGAGAAAGUAGAAUAUCUUAGUGGCAAAAUGAAUCUUAUGUCAGCCACCAUAGGCACUAGUGCAUGGAGCAACAAUGAUCUUUUUAUCAGUAUCAAGAGGGUCUGCAGCACAUGCGCACACAAGAUCUACAUGCAAAGAAUCUGACAGACAGAACUGAUAUGCACCCAUUCAACGAACUCCACAAAAUUCUUAAUCUACAAUAGUCUCGUGAAAGAUCGCUUAAUGAUCUUACGGAAUCAAUAUACUUGCUAGACUGCCUGAGCUAGCACCACUUACAUCAAACAAACUGAACUCUGACAUAAGUUCGCUUAUAUGCUGUGAUGAUUGUAUCAUAUUCAUUACCUUGUUAGGCAAGUAGGAAGGGUCGCAAACAACUUUUUUGCAUUUGGCAGUUUCGCCCUCUGAUGUGACACCAAUGACUUGGCCUUCAUCGUUGAACUCCACCUGCAAUAACAGCAAAAUAAAACAACAUUUAUUUCCCUAUAAGUAGCAGAUUUAACUUGAAAUUUGACUAGUAAACACCAUUUUCAUGAUAUUGGCAGAGAAUAAACAUAUAUUUACCAGUCCAACUAUAAAUGAGAACCAAAUGACCCAAUUACCUUGCAUUCCCGUUUGUUCAGCAUGUAAAUCCCACCAUAUACAGCACUAAGCCGUGCAAAUGCCUGGGUUACAAAGGAAAAAAGUCAAAUAUAAUCCAAAGCGAACGGUCAGGCAUCGGUAAUGAAUGUGAUCCGGUAUAUCAAAACUGCAGCAGCGGCUUGGACAUGCAUCUGUGACACUAUAUGUACCUGAGGGAGCUCUCCUAACCCGUACAAGGGGUAAAUAUAGGGAGAUCCUCCUUGAAAACGAGCAAAUGACUCUUCAUAGAGCUAUCAAGUGGCCAGCGGAGAGAAGAGGAAUGUCAAUUUAAAGAUCUCCAAACAAAAUGGGAAAAAAUUCUCUUUACGAGCAUAAGAAAGAUGUUUGUUCUGGGAAACAGGAUCAUUCACCUUCAUUCUCUUGACAGUAUCCAGGGCAGGCUCAUUUAGGUAUCGAUCAUCUCUAUGGAGCGCCAAGGCAUGACCAAUAAAUUCAAUGGCGUCAUCACCAAGACCAUAUUUUCUGUUCGAAAAACAGAAGCAAAAUGGCCAAGGGUUCACAGUACCACCAGCUAAUAUUAUCCUACUCAUCAUGAUAGCUGGAACAAAAUCUUGCAGAAGAAGAGAACAGGAAAGAGUUAUUUAAGUAAGAGCACUGUAAAGACUCUCCAACUUUGUUUUAGACUUUUCUUCUUUUUGAUAAGUAAUAUCAUGUACAAUACAAUAUCCAAAAUAGGAAUGCAGAGGACCACUUCCUGCUACAAGUAGCACAUAAAGUGGUAUAAGACAGUACUCAUCUAGCAAACUUAGCUAUCAUUUGAUCAGUUGUGAGAAUGGGAAAUUCUAGGCAAAACACAUUGCAAUUGCAGUGCAGCAUUAACGUUGUAUACAGAGAUGGAAAUGACAUGUCAACCCAGGAAAACAUGUAAACAUACGCUAUCAGUUUUCUUGUUGUUACACGUGUCAGAUCCAUCCCCUCAUGCGUCCUUGGAUCAUUUUCAUUAUAAUCAUGAACGUAUGUAAAGAACUUUCGAGCUCGAUACUUCUCAAACAUGCCCAUGAGUGGAGUUUGAAGUGCUUCCAUAGCAGUAGCAGGCACUUUGUGAACCUGUAAUUGGCCGUACCAUAUUGUUGAAGAAGAAAGGAAAACUAGGCAGACCUGCAAUGAUUUUGCAAAUGUUCCAAUAUACGGUCUAUCUCCAUACCUUUCCCUUAUUGAAGACAUAGCUUCCAUCCACUGCUUUGAAGUACAUAUACUUGGUAACAUCUGUAUGGAUGAGGACUCGCACCAGAGCACCAUUUGCCAUUAUAAACUACACAGAAGCACUGGUCAGCAAAGAACCGAUAAGGAGAAUAUAAACAAUCUGCAAGAGCCUAAAUUGUAGGUCAAUGAACCAAGUUCAGAAUUAUACCUUGGGGACCAUGUCAACAUUAUAGUCCCUGCUAGAGCCCAAAUGUGCAGGAGGUUUAUCACUAUUCCUAAAUUUCUUCCAGAGCUGCAAGUCACCAAUAGCAACUAUUCAAACCACCCAUUAAAGAUAAUGCAACAGUGCAGCAAAUUGCAGGGGAUGUACGAAGAAAGCAGACCUGAAUGAGAUUAAGUGAUGUUGACUCUCCUCCGUAAUAGUCAUUCCUAUCCAUGUGCAAAACCUGGUUCAAAAGGUUCUUCUGUCAGCAACUGAGGAGAGAUCCACAAUCUAUGGUAAUUAUCUUUGUCUUGGUUAUGGGAAAAAGAGAAUAGGGAGAGACAACGAGAAUAGUUAUUUCAUUGCGUAAUUUGCAACAAAUCUCAAAAGAGAAAACCCAAAUGCCCUUAGAUAAUAACAAAGAAGAGCAAUUUUCAGGGGUGCAACCUAAACUUCUUGGCAUGAACCUGACGGAAGCAACCGAUUGUUGAAGGGGCAAUCUCCCUUGAUUUGACAUACUACCUGCCGCAGCAGUCUAAGUUUCAAGGAGCUUUCCCUCAAUCCUCCUCUCUAUCCAACAAGAUGGAAGAGAAGUGCUUCUUUCUCCAUAUAAGGCACGGUGACAAGUCGAUCGGUCGAGACAAUAUAUGAGUCCACCUUCACCGUCCUCAAAGCUUAAGCCUAAGUAAUAAUUUAACUUGUGCUCGGAAACGACUUCGCAUGUUGUCAAUAUACUCAAGACCGACUCGAUUCAACUAUCAUGAAGUUGCCACUUGCAUUUAAGAUCAAAGAUAGGAAAACUGGAGUUAUCCAUGUCCGAUGUCUACCGAUCACUAUAUGACAGGACGCAAAUUCACAAUUUCACUCGAGCUCAUCAGCAGCUUAAAACUACUACAGCAAAGCUCAAAUUCAACUCCAGACAGGUUUUUCAGAAUCUCCACUUAAAUUAGUAUUGCUAUUCUCAUGUAAAUUGGAGUCUUGCCGAUCUGUCCCGAUACAAAUUGAACGUAAGACAAUACAACAGCAACCGAAAGUCCAAGGCACUUAUUCGAACAUGUCGACCGGCUCUCCAAUCCAAAUGAACACCAACUUGAAACCGAAGUCAGUGCAUGGAUCCUUACCGCAGCGUAAACCAAAAGAAAACAUCCGUGAAUGUAACUACACGAGCUAAAUUUCGCUGGAAAAAUAAGAGUCGUGCGACUCUCGUCAGGAUUCAGACAUCAGAAGACAUGUGAUCGAACUGAACCGAACCGAACUGACCGACUGACCGGUCGAGCAAGGAAAUGACCGACGGAGAGAUGAAGGAGGAGAGACCUUGAGGCCAUCGACGGAGAGGAGGCCAGAGAGGAUGCACUCCUUGAGGCCGGUCCCGAGCACGACGACAUCGUACUUCUCGUCCAUGGCAGUCGAUGAUUGGUGGUUAGAACAGAUCGGGAAGGUCUUGAGGUUAGACCAGGGUACGAGGAGAGUGGCGGGUAUUUGAAGACUCGGAAGAAGAACGGGGAAGGUGGCGGGGCGAAUAUGGUGGCGUGGCGUCUGCAAUGAAGGCGGGAAUAUUAAUGAAAACGACGCUGAGAAUUCGUUGCUUGAUGUUACGAAGAGAGGGAUAUAUGACAAACUUGUGGACGGCAUCUGCUUCCCGCUCCUUUCUACUUUUAAUUCCAUUACUAUCAUUUAGUAACUUGAUUUUUCCUCCGCUUUUUAGCAUAAUUAGUUCGUAACUUAUUGAUUUAAAUUUUUAAGUGAAUAUAAUCCAAUUAGAUAUAUUAAUGAGCUUGGAUUUGAACUUCCUCUUAACGAUCUCUGAUCCGUCAAAUGAUUAAGUGAGGUCAAGUUUAUAUUCGAGGGGAAACUCCACUCACUUAAAGCUAUAUGCUAAUGGAAAAAUAGUAAAUUAAAUAAAAAAUAUGAAAAACCUAUAAAUUAAAAUAUCAAUAAAGAAUUUGAUCAAUAAAAUAUAUAUUUAUAAAGAACUUAGGGCUGAUGAACCAUUUUGCGACUUGGACUUAGUAAGCCCAAUUUCAUGCGGAUAGCUCUUUUAUUUAUAAAUGGGUUACACAUGACACAAGUUAAAAUAAAAAUAAAAAUAAAAUGAAAAAAGGAAGAAAAAAGCAGGGAAAACAAUGAAUUAAGAAAAGAAAAGAAAAAAAGCGAGGACAAAAGAGAAAGAAUCGAAGCGCAUUCAUUUCUUCGCUUGUCGUCCUCGAAAGCCCGCCCCCUUCCCCCUCAUCAUAUUAUGUGCUCCUCACCACCCCUUUAACCACCCCUCCUCCUCCUCCAUCGCCACCAUCACCGCGGCCACCACCGCCGUUCCCAUCCCUUCUUGACCUCCGCAAUCUCAAGUUUCGCCGGCCGCCCGCCCGAACCUUUAAUCCCCUUCUGGGUCUUAGCAGGGGAGCGAGGCCCGAGAUGAAACGGCCCCCCGCCGCCAGUGAGGACGCCGAGGCCAAGAAGAAGCUCUGGCCCGACCAGGAGGAAGAGGAGCCGCCCCCCGCGGCGGAUGGCAUGGCCCCACCGGCCGAGUUCACCCACCUCAAUGAGGACCUGCUGUUUGAGGUGCUCAAACACGCGGACGCCCGCACGCUCGCUAUGGAGGCAAGCGGUAGAGGUGGCUCGGAGGCGAGUGGCAGGUUGGGUCAAACGCACUUAAUGUCGAAAAUGAAUUAGACAUUCUGACCCAUUUUUACCUAUACAAUUCACCUUAAAACUUUUUGGACACUUUUUAAUUGGACCCUUAUAUAUUUAUGACCCACUUGCAACCCAUUAACACAAAAUAUGAGUUAGAAAAUGGGUUCCUAGCCUAUUUUGACACCUCUAGCAAUCUUCCCAGGCGAAAUGUAUCGGAUUUCUACUCGGUGUUCUCAAUAGUGUUGAUGAACUUGGUGCAACAUGGACUAAGCAACACAAGCUGUUUCGAUGAAAUGGGGACAAUGAAGACACAUCCAGUUCAUUAUGGAACAAGAGUAAGUGAGAAUUUACCCCAAGCAACAUGCAAUAUAAGCUUGUUAUAGAUUAGGGGUGAGCAAUUCUAAAGUGGAUCUAAAUUUCACUUGGAACCAAACAACAAUAUAGAGAUAAUUUUGAGAAAUUCAAUUUCAACAAUCCCAUUGACAUCCUAUUAAGUUCUCAUUAGUCUCUAGAACCAGUUAUCAAUUUUUAGAAUUUAGAAUCUACCGUGAAACCAACUUUGGAAUUGAAUUUGCAACUCCAAGGUCCACCUGGAAACCAAUCGAUUCCUUUUUAUUUUUCAUUUUUUGCUACAUUUUUAGUCAAGCAACCAACAAAUUUUCCCUUUAAAUAGAUAGAGCUUUCAUCAGCAAGAUUGUCAUCACAAACAAAACCAUUUAUAAGUAAAAUAAUCUAUUUAAACUAACAAGAGAAGUCGUAUUAUGUUACCAUGUAAAGUAAAUGAAAGAGGUCGAUUCAAGAAUAAACUAGAAACACAUGUAAAAGAGUAGUGAUUAAUUAAUUUGAGGUUUCCAAAGAGCAAAGGAGACUAGGUUUCUUCUACAAUGAGUAUACAUAUAUGUUGCUAGUGGAUUCUAAUGGGUACAUAUCUUGCACAUGCACCAAAGCAUUGAAAAGUAAUUAUAGUAAGGAGAGAGCAUAUUGAAUAACAUUAGUAAUGAAAUGAUGUUUCAAAUUCUAAAAGUUUGAUAUUACUGGUAUAAAAAUUGGUGAAAAGAUCCAUAUAUACUACUAGUUUUAUGCCUAUUUUGGUUUGGUUCGAUUAUCUUAUUUCUAGUCCAAUUUUACAAUUCCCAAUCCGGUUCGAUUCCAUUUGUACCUAGGUAUCACGAAUCGAACCACAUAAUAUUGUUCCAAAAUAUUUGGAACUAGACCGAGGAAUUCUGAAAUUGAGAACUGCACCAAUUUUAAGAGUCAGUCUAGUAUGGUUGCCAGUUCUAUCCACGACUUAUGCUCACCCUUAGUAUGAAUAACCCAUCUAAAGAACCUUACCAAAAAUAAUAAUAAUAAUAAAAUAACCCAUCUAAAGAAUCACUCUACUUCUUUUCAAAUUAAUCAUGACUUUUCUUUAAAGAUUGUACGAGGUUAGGAAGAACCUCAUUGGUAACGUGUCAAAUAAUGUUUGAUUCCAUUAUUUUGUUCUUUGGAACAAAAAAAAAAAAAACAGAAUUCUGUUUGGUAACUUUUUUAUUCCCAAGAAUAAAUUUGGUGUACAAUCAAGAGAUAAAUAAAUUAAAAAAAGUUACAUUUUUGUUCUAAAAAACGACUCCAAAAUCAAGCAUUGUCUUUUUUUUUCUUUUCUUUUCGUUUUUUGUUUCGGCUUCUUCCUCCUCUAGCCGGCGACCUUGCUAGUGGCUAGGUGAACACAAACCUCGUUAAGAUCUAGUGAGUCUCAACCUCACCCGAAUCUUGGGAAGGUAGAGCUCGCCCAACCACUGGUAAAGCUCACCCUUGCCCAUUCACUGCGAGAUCACCCUCCCCAUGGCCAGGCGACAGCCACCUUGCGGUGCGGUGGUUAGGCGAGGCUUGGCCUCGCCUUAGCUGGGUGAGGCUCGUGGCAAGGUCGACCUUGCAGUGGUUGGAUGAGGGUGUGCCUCACCAAAUUUGGGUGAGAUUGAGCCUCAUUAAUUGCCAGCAAGGCUUAGGUCGACGAGGCUCUCUUGAGGCCGAUGAUCGGCAAGUGGAAGAAGAAGAAGAAUAAGAAUAAAAGGAAAAAAAUAUAUAAUAAAAUUAUUUAAAAAAUUAAAAGAAAUUUUGAGUUACAAAAAAAUCUUAAGGUCGUACCAACACAUUUCUAUUCCAAGAAUAUAAUUUUGUAUAGUUAUGAAACGCUUCAAAUGCUCAGAAAUUCAUUUAGAGAACAAAAUUAGAAAAAAUCAUUUCUAAACAAAAAUUGUUUUCAAGAACAAAAUGAUUACCAAACGCACUUAAAGAGUACAAAAUUCUUAUUCACGUGUACAAACAAGUUCUAGAGCUCAUCAUCUAAAUUUUACGGUCAAAUCUCCUGUAAUUUCUCUAGAAAUUGAUGAUUGUUUGUAUUUGACAUGACAUUGUGGAAUUAGCGCAUCAAUUGUCAUAAAUGUAAAUCUUUACGGUCCUUAAUCAUUAGCUUGAACCUCGUGCAUAAUAGAUUUUAUAACUUAAAAUGUCGGUCAACUUCCUUUCGGAACUUAACAUUUUCUACCUCAUUUUUCUAAAGACUAACUUCAAAAAAUUAACAGUAUCUAUACCCCGUGCGGAUCUGCAUGAAUAUGCCCUGGCUGCAAGACCAUGGCCUAUGGUCAGUUGCUGGCCAUGGCCGAGUACCGGCCGGCCAUAGACCAAAGAGAAAGAAAGCAAAAGAAAAGAAAAGAAGAAGAAGGAGGAGGAGAAAUGACAAAGAAGAAAAAUAAGAGAAAAGGAGAUGCAAGUCUACGAGAGAAGAGAGGCAAAAGGAGAAGCAUCUAACAAGGGACCCAUGAGAGACAUGUGCCGCUCAAUGGAUGGGCUUCUAAUUUGUUGUACUAACACGACUUGGCAUAACUUGUGCGGUCAAUAUUUUCUCAUUGCUGAGACGCGCAAAUAGUAAUUAGCACAAUCAACCAAUUUGAAACUUAAAAAAACUUGUUCCCUAUUUUAAUUUAAUUAAAAUAUUAGAUAAGAUACAGUCUUAAGAUUAAAUAGAAAAUUAAUUGUAUCAAAUUUACUAAUUGUACAUCACUAAUCGUCAACACCGAAUUAUAAAAUGCUCUCAACCUUCCCAAUCUAGUGAAUAUACAAUAUAUAUGAUAUGAAGGUGCGAGUGCAUAUUCGUGUAUUCCUCUCUAUAUUAAUCUCGAAAUGAACUAAAGUUGGUGAAAAAAGAAAUACGCCCAAGGAUUCGAAGUGAGAUGGCCGACAUUGGGUGCAAAUGACCUUUUGACCAUCGGAACUCAUUACUGGCAAUAUCCACCAAGACAAAAAUGGUACCGAAAGCGCCGUCCAAACUUAGCAUAAACUAGUUAUCGCUUCACUAGUACAAUCGCAUUCUCGAACAAAGUCAUAGGACACGCGCUCGCACAUGGACACGUGAUGAAGACCUAGACUUACAUGUCGGAGGGCUUGUUCAGUGCGCCUCCGGUGACCUUGGCGGCGCGAAGGAGGAGCUUGGCGGCGCGAAGGAGUGCGAGCUCCGCAUUGAGUUCCUUCAGCUGACUCAGCAGUUCCACCUUCGGCUUCUGUCGCAGCUGAUGAACCUUAAUCCUCGCUUCACAGUGAACAAGAAAAAGGAAAAAGUCAGCAAAAGCUAGAGAUCAGAGGGUCUCUCUUGAAGAGACGAAAGCGAGCAUGAGGACGAUUGUUACAAAUCGCCUUUGCUUCGUCUGAGCUUCAAUGGCCGCCUCUCUGCGUGGGCACUAGGUUCAUGUGACUAUCUAAUCAUACGAGUCCCACACGAGUCCCACACGAGUCUUAUCAAAUCAAUUAACGCCCCUACACACGGCUCCCAUUAGCUUUGCGCAUGGAAUAAUGAGAACGAGACCUAGAUGGCUUCUUCAGCUGGGUCAUCCAUGUCUACAGAAAGUCCAUGUCGUUUGAAUUGGAAAAUGGUUGCAAUCAAUCCAGUCAUAUUGAUCGCGUGAUAUUUCAAUAAUGUCUCCGCAGACUGUUUCAUCUCCGGAUGAGACUAUCAAGCAGACACUAAUGUCUAGCAUUGCAAAUAAGCAGUGCACAUUUUGCAUGUAAAUUCUUACAUGUGUUAUCACAGAUGAUAGUACAUAGAAUAACCAGAAACGCAUUCUAGAGAUUCAUCGACAAUAAAAACCGAUGUCUGAGAGCUCCAAGCCAGGCAUUAGCACUCCAUGCGCCGAACCUCUCAAUUCUCAUUCCUCUGCAGCACUGGCCGCGCUUAAAUCCACACUGAGGUCAAGAACCUGCCCAGAAGAAUGUAAUUUUGUCAGCAUCUCUCUCUCUCUCUCUCUCUCUCUCUCUCUCUCUCUCUCUCUCUCUAUAUAUAUAUAUAUAUAUAAUGCAUAAGCUAUACCAUUAUUUUACAUUUUCAGGACAUCUUUGAUCAUUAAUUGAAGGGGACUAUGAACUUGAUUAGCAGAGGCAAAAGACAAAAUGUGCAGUAGGUGGAAUUAUUGGGCAGGUUUCACGGGACAAUAAAGUAGGUCCAAAAGUUGAGAACCCAUACUGCAUAGAAAAUAGCCGACACCCUUCCAACCACACCAAUCAAGAUUGCACUAAUUGGACACAAAAGACGGAAGGGCAUGGCACGGCUUAUGUAACUAGUCCAAACGCAUGAUAACCUUGUCAAGAUAAACAUUAGAUCAUAACUUAAAGACUAAGUGAAACAAACAAAAGUGCAUAAUAGUCAGAUAUAGUUAACGAGAAGGUUAGACCCGAGCAGUUCUAAUAUUAAUAGCUUCCAAAGAGUCCUCCAACUUCCAACCCACGUGAAAACUUGUCAAAGAUUGUCUCAUGCUCGCCACGCCAACAAAGAAUUUAUCAUCAAGUUCAUAGUUGAUAGCAGAAUAUUUCCGAGAAGUUAUUCUUACCUUUCCAGUGAUCAAUGUAUACAUGUUAAGCACAUCCAUGACAGUCGACUCGAAGUGGGUUGUGGCAUCAUAACUCUGCAGGUAUAGCAAGAGAAGAGAUUAACAUAAUAUCAAUACAAUUGAACCUGAACUCCACAUAUUCAUCUCCCCGAGAGAGAGAGAGAGAGAGAGAGAGAGAGAGAGAGAAGAACAAAACUCACAGUUGAUAUGAAGCAGUUGUCAAGAGAAGGUUCAUUGACUGGUUCGUAUCUAUCAUAAGUGUCAUAAAAUAUCUCAUCAACAGGCCCCAGCAGAUCAAGCCCCGGCUUCAGUUCUAUCUCAGGUUGAUCAGUUUCCGCCUC